Gracilinanus agilis (Agile Gracile Mouse Opossum) is the source of this 1046-nucleotide long non-coding RNA. RefSeq lists it as uncharacterized. Lineage: Eukaryota; Metazoa; Chordata; Mammalia; Didelphimorphia; Didelphidae. The transcript is spliced from 3 exons. The record is from RefSeq and is a predicted model, not a curated record.
GUUAAACUCUUGGACAAGCCCUCAGGAGGAAGAUGGUGACCUCUCAGGAAUGCCACCUGGCCCAUGGAUCAGACUGUGGGUGAGGAGCCACCCUUCCUUCUGGGAUCCAGUCAAGGACUAAUACGGCAAUUAUUACCAUAUGGGAAGUCGGUGAAAUCUGUUGAUGAUAAAAAGGAGCUUUGGAACUUGUGAGCAGGGAUGCCGAGCCAAGGAAGCAGAUUUAGAACAAGUUGUACAUCGACCAGCAAAACUCUUCAGAAUUCCAAGCGGUCCAUUCAGCCGUCGAUCGUGCCUUCAGAGGAUGGUCUGCAGGAAGGCGGAAGACGGUAAAUAGGGAACGAGCACACGUGGGUGGACGGGGCCAACACGCUGAUCCACUUCAGCUCAAUCAGACUUUGUCACCAGGUUCUGUGGGGCUACGGACAGGGAAAGGAGAGGCGCGGGAAGCAGCCACAACGUAAAAAGAAAAAGAGAAGGAGAAAGGCAGAUUGUUUUGGCGGGUGGGAGAAGGGAGAAAGGGCUGAAUCACCGGCCUUGACUAGAGACUGAGGAGACCCCAAGGAAAGGCACAGGAAAUGCUAAGAAAGGGCCCAAUUUGGUCUGCAGGAAGAGCCAAGCCGGUCCAGAACCCUUCACUUCGGCUCUGUGUAGAGGUUCUCAGGUGACUUUGGGGGAUGUUUGGAUGCCCUCAAAUUGCAGUACAUGAAGCGAAGAGGGUUGGAGAGGGAGGAUCCAUGGACAGAGAACUACUGGGGAGAGUAUUUGCCCCUCAGCAGCAAGAGAGAGCCUCACGAUCACUGUUCAAAUUCUGGCUUUGGGCCAGGCACUGGCAUUCUCUGAGACUCAGUUCCUUCAUCUGCAAAAUGAAAAGAUGGGACAAGAUUGGCUUGGGAGUGUCGCUUAGUUCUAAAUCCGUAUCCCCUAAUCCUAAGAAUAUAUGUUAUGGCAGAUGCAUUACAUUAGACCAUCCAUCUAGAUAGAGCUCAUCUGACAAAGUCACACCAAAGAAAUUAGUUAGAAACUCUUUUCAGAGAAUCAAUUAGUCU